GCGUCACUGGUGAGUCUUGUGUGGACAAGGCGCGUUUUUGGCGUAUUGAAUUUUAAACCUGAUGCUUUUUGUUAUUCAUUAAUCAUGUGUUUCUUUAUCUAAUACGUUCUCCUAUUUAUUUGUAUUGUAGUCCUGUAAUAUUGUGUUGUCAUUUCAAUGUUAUAUUUAACAUUGCCAUUAAAGUGCGAGGUUUGGCAUGCCACAAAACCAGGUUCAACCCACCAUUUUUUCCUUUAAAAAUGUCCUGUACCAAGUCAGGAAUAUGGCCAUUGUUAUAUUAUAGUUCGUUUCUGUGUGUGUUACAAUUUAACGUUGCGUCGUUUGUUUUCUCUUUUUUUUUUAAGUGUAAAUUGACAUUGCGAUAAGACGUGUCACGGCACUUGUC
RNAcentral lists this long non-coding RNA (385 nucleotides) under Mytilus galloprovincialis (Mediterranean mussel). The record is from RNAcentral. Lineage: Eukaryota; Metazoa; Mollusca; Bivalvia; Mytilida; Mytilidae.